UGGGGAAUAUUGCACAAUGGGCGAAAGCCUGAUGCAGCGACGCCGCGUGAGGGAUGACGGCCUUCGGGUUGUAAACCUCUUUCAGCAGGGACGAAGCGCAAGUGUCGGUACCUGCAGAAGAAGCACCGGCUAACUACGUGCCAGCAGCCGCGGUAAUACGUAGGGUGCAAGCGUUGUCCGGAAUUACUGGGCGUAAAGAGUUCGUAGGCGGUUUGUCGCGUCGUUUGUGAAAACCAGCAGCUCAACUGCUGGCUUGCAGGCGAUACGGGCAGGCUUGAGUACUGCAGGGGAGACUGGAAUUCCUGGUGUAGCGGUGAAAUGCGCAGAUAUCAGGAGGAACACCGGUGGCGAAGGCGGGUCUCUGGGCAGUAACUGACGCUGAGGAACGAAAGCGUGGGUAGCGAACAGG
Molecule: ribosomal RNA, 409 nt
Filed under: bacterium
Lineage: Bacteria
Description: partial 16S ribosomal RNA
Rfam family: Bacterial small subunit ribosomal RNA
Source: RNAcentral